RNAcentral lists this long non-coding RNA (623 nucleotides) under Parus major (Great Tit). RNAcentral describes it as "lncRNA (ENSPMJG00000005746.1)". Lineage: Eukaryota; Metazoa; Chordata; Aves; Passeriformes; Paridae. The record is from RNAcentral.
GUCUAGUAACAGUGUGUGGUACUGUAAUGAUUUGUUUUCUGUUUUCCAGCUUUAACAGAGAAAAGUUGGAAUGACUUGAGAGAAAGGACAAAGGAAAUGAUAAUACAUUGAAGCCAGUUUUGAAGAGAUUCAAUUUACAUUGACCACUUUAGAGAUUUUUGUAAUUUGUAUUGUGAGGAGGAGUCGGUUUCUGUGACAGUCUCGUCCUACAUCUCCACGGUCUCUGCUCCUGUCUGUCUGCCUACUGGACACUUAAUUCAGAGGGAUCCGAUGAAUAUGUGAUUCAUGGAAACAUCAAGGAGAAAUGGAAAGGAUAAUCUAGUAUUUCACAUUGCCAUGUGACUUGUCACAGAGAAUACUGUCACUGGAAAAUCCUGACAGAAAAGGAGGCUUUUCAAGCAUGGCAAAGGGAUAGAGCUGCUCUUACCAGGCAGACACUGGAUACUGUAGUUGCAGUCACUGGAGCUGUGGGAUUUUUCCUCGAGCACCACACACUGUAUGGUUACAAGUCCCUGCAGAGUCUGUUAGGGAGCAUCCAUUUAUCUGCAAAUACAUGCUGUAAACUGGUAAGUUUGACUUUCCAAAAUUAAGGGGAGGCAAGUUUUCCAGAGGCUUGAUCUGGU